GUAGGUGGCAAGCGUUGUCCGGAAUUAUUGGGCGUAAAGCGCGCGCAGGGUGGUUCCUUAAGUCUGAUGUGAAAGCCCCCGGGCUCAACCGGGGAGGGUCAUUGGAAACUGGGGAACUUGAGUGCAGGAGAGGAAAGUGGAAUUCCACGUGUAGCGGUGAAAUGCGUAGAUAUGUGGAGGAACACCAGUGGCGAAGGCGACUUUCUGGCCUGUAACUGACACUGAGGCGCGAAAGCGUGGGGAGCAAACAGGAUUAGAUACCCUGGUAGUCCACGCCGUAAACGAUGAGUGCUAAGUGUUGGGGGGUUUCCGCCCCUCAGUGCUGCAGCUAACGCAUUAAGCACUCCGCCUGGGGAGUACGACCGCAAGGUUG
This 373-nucleotide ribosomal RNA is filed under the name uncultured organism. RNAcentral describes it as "partial 16S ribosomal RNA". It matches the Rfam family "Bacterial small subunit ribosomal RNA", at positions 527 to 896 of the family's 1533-position model. The record is from RNAcentral.